This 1006-nucleotide long non-coding RNA is filed under the name Cricetulus griseus (Chinese hamster). Its description in RNAcentral is "lncRNA (ENSCGRG00015040069.1)". Lineage: Eukaryota; Metazoa; Chordata; Mammalia; Rodentia; Cricetidae. The record is from RNAcentral.
UCUCCGACCCCUGAGUCUAGGAAUCUUCCCCUCCUUUCAAUCAAAGGAAUCACACGUCUUUGUUGUUGUUGUUGUUGUUGUUACUUUAUUGUUUAGCACGAGUGAGUGUGUGUGUGUCACUCAGUCAGGAGUUAGUUCCCCCUUCCCCCAUGUAGUCCUGGGGAUUGGGAUUGGUGGCAGGUCCCUUCACCUACUGAGCCAUCUUGUCACCUCCUUGGCCUCUUCUUGUUGCUGCGUCCCUUCAUUUGACCUGACUGGAGCCUCAGGAGGACUCAGAUGCUCAGUUGGAAAUCUGUCAGAGUGGCAAGCCGGGUGCGGAUGCUCCUGGGGAAGGAGAGUGAGCCAGCUUCCCCUUCAAAUGACCUUGCUUCAUCCCUCUAUAGCCCAGGGUUCUCAGGAUGGCUCCUUGCCGGAGUCGCCUACUAGGUGGAGACAGGGAAGGUCUGAAGGCCUUUGUCUGCCUUUGCCUCUUCCCUCAGAGCUGCCGUGCAGCCCCUCCACGCUGUCCUGACUCACCAGAUAGUUGCUCUAACGGAAAACAAGAGCAAAGCCAUACGUCAGAGGGUGACUCAGAACAGAGUGCUGGGCGGUCUGGUAGCAGCUGCUCUCCAGGGUGACAUUCAACAGAGGACAGGGAGCCACUGCAGGAGGGGCGGAGGGUCACAGGCAGAUGUCCUCUCCUGGGAAUCCAGUCCAGCCCUCUGCUAAGGUAUUCCUGGAAGCCUGUGCCAUCCCAAAACCCUUUAAAAGGUUCUUAAGCUUCGGCUUGUUGGCUCACACCUUUAAUCCCAGAACUCCGCUGGCGGAGGCAGAAUGAGAACAAAAGCCGCCCCGAUUAUUCAGAAAGAGACCAGAAUGGAUGGUUUUGUCAGAUCAGAACUAUUAUGAUAAUUCCAUGUCCUCUGUCCUUGAAGUGUUUGCUGCAGAGAUUAAAGCUGGGGAGGCUGCUGCAGUUCCUCAGUGUUGCUGGAAAUCAGCUAUUUGUUUUAUUGUAAGUUUUUUUUUU